UGGGGAAUAUUGGACAAUGGGCGAAAGCCUGAUCCAGCCAUGCCGCGUGUGUGAAGAAGGUCUUCGGAUUGUAAAGCACUUUAAGUUGGGAGGAAGGGCAGUAAGCGAAUACCUUGCUGUUUUGACGUUACCGACAGAAUAAGCACCGGCUAACUCUGUGCCAGCAGCCGCGGUAAUACAGAGGGUGCAAGCGUUAAUCGGAAUUACUGGGCGUAAAGCGCGCGUAGGUGGUUCGUUAAGUUGAAUGUGAAAGCCCCGGGCUCAACCUGGGAACUGCAUCCAAAACUGGCGAGCUAGAGUAGGGCAGAGGGUGGUGGAAUUUCCUGUGUAGCGGUGAAAUGCGUAGAUAUAGGAAGGAACACAAGUGGAGAAGGCGAACACCUGGGCUCAUACUGAAACUGAGGUGAGAAAGCGUGGGGGGCAAACAGG
This 429-nucleotide ribosomal RNA is filed under the name Pseudomonadota bacterium. Its description in RNAcentral is "Proteobacteria bacterium partial 16S ribosomal RNA". It matches the Rfam family "Bacterial small subunit ribosomal RNA", at positions 355 to 776 of the family's 1533-position model. Lineage: Bacteria; Pseudomonadati; Pseudomonadota. The record is from RNAcentral.